RNAcentral lists this unclassified non-coding RNA (345 nucleotides) under soil metagenome. RNAcentral's name for it is "partial contains 5.8S ribosomal RNA, internal transcribed spacer 2, and large subunit ribosomal RNA". The stretch from base 1 to 120 matches the Rfam family "5.8S ribosomal RNA", at positions 35 to 154 of the family's 154-position model. The record is from RNAcentral.
GAUGAAGAACGCAGCGAAAUGCGAUAAGUAAUGUGAAUUGCAGAAUUCAGUGAAUCAUCGAAUCUUUGAACGCACAUUGCGCCCGCCAGCAUUCUGGCGGGCAUGCCUGUUCGAGCGUCAUUUCAACCCUCGACCUCCCCUUGGGGAAGUCGGCGUUGGGGACCGGCAGCAUACCGCCGGCCCCGAAAUGGAGUGGCGGCCCGUCCGCGGCGACCUCUGCGUAGUAAUCCAACCUCGCACCGGAACCCCGACGUGGCCACGCCGUAAAACCCCCAACUUUCUGAACGUUGACCGCGGAUCAGGUAGGAAUACCCGCUGAACUUAAGCAUAUCAAUAAGCGGAGGA